This is a non-coding RNA of Phoenix dactylifera (date palm), 3749 nucleotides long. The record is from RefSeq and is a predicted model, not a curated record. NCBI's taxonomy places the organism in Eukaryota, Viridiplantae, Streptophyta, Magnoliopsida, Arecales, Arecaceae.
AUCAAUAAAAAAUUAUAAUAUCCCGCCACGUAAGCGAAACGUAUCCUUCCCCAACACCGCCUCCGUUUUGUUUUCCCCUUCUCCCCGAUUUUUUCUCAAUUUUUUUACCUUUAAAUACGCCCAUCCUUGGCCUCUGUAACUCCCCGUCUCCGAAUUAUUUCUUCCCCGCUCUGUGUUUGUGUUCUCCACCGCUUCGAUUCGGUCUAUUCGAUUUUUUUCCCCAACGUUUUGGUUCUGUUGGGGUUUUGCUUUGGUAUUUGGGGGGAAAGAUCCCACCUUUAUAUAGAGCGCUCUCUUGUUUCGGGGUUUUGCGAUGGUUGGGGAGGGGAGGGGGUCGUGGAAUAGGGAGCAGGGCUACCGUUACAAGGAAGGAGGCAGUAGAGCGCAGAAAUCUUGGAGGCCGCCCCAUCACCCUGGUAAAAUUGUUGAAUCAGGUUCCGAGAGUCCAUCAGUUCCUUUAUGGGAGAAGAAAUUCUGCACACGUGUGGGUGCAAUUCCAUGGAAGAGGUUUUGUGAAAACAAGAAAUUUAUUGGCAUGUAUAAAAAUGUGUUACAGUGGGAUGAUUCAGCAGCUUUAGAAGCUUUCCAGAAUGCAAAGGCCCGGUUCUAUGCAGAGUAUAAUGGCCUCCCUUAUAACAUCCCUUUGCCUGACCCAGAUAUGUAUAUUGAUGAGGUCGACCAAGAUGCUGUCAUUGAUCCUGAAAUGGUGGCAGAUUUAGAAAAACCACCUCCGGCCCAUGCUGAUGAGGAUAAUACUGCAACUAAUGGCUGGGAUUCCUUUAUUUUUACAAACCAACCAGUUCCAGCUUCUGGAUGGGGUGAUACAGAAGACCCUGUCCCUUCAAAUGAGAAAACUGGUGAGUUCUCUGCAAAUUGGGAUGCUUAUAUUGAACAAAUUAAACCCAGUGGUUGGGGGGAUGCAGCUGAGCCCUACUCCUCAAGUUGGGAUAUGAAGAAUGAUUCUGGCAAUGCAUGGGGUUACAGUGGUGGAGGUUGGGGAAAGGGAAUUGCACAGGAGAAUCCGUUGGUUGCUGGAAGUUAUAAUUACUGGAGAAACUCUUGGGAAACUUGGGAGAACAGAAAUAGUGAUCCAAAUAGAAGAAAUGGAAGAAAGAGAGAUGGAGGAGGCCGUUUUGGCUCAAGAUUUACGAAACCCAAAUACCAGGUGGAUGGUUAUCAAUCGAAUAGUAGAUGGAGUGAUUGCAGAGGAAGAAAUAGGGCUGACUAUCCUUAUCAGAAGACAGUCUAUGCUAAGCAGCCUCUGGCUAUGUACCAGUGAAACUCCCUGUGCUUGUCUUGGGUGAAAAAUCAUCACAGAUCAGCUGAAUGAGGUGUGCGUGGCAUGAGAGAGGUCCAUACAGUGUUGCAUUGCAUGUGUAUGUACUUAAAGACUAUUAAGAAGCUGAUGGAGUCUGUAUAGUCAAGUUUCAAUAAGUUGGUAAGAAGUUUAAAGGAAAAAACCAUAAAAUGUCAUUCAAUAACCAAGCUAAAUCAUGCAAAAUUCGAUAAUUUUGUUUGGAUUUGAGAAACUCUGUAUAAUGUGUACUAACUGCAUGCAGAUUGUGGAGCAUGAUUUUUAGGAGUUUUUCUUGGCCUAUGUGAUGAUAUAAACAAUAUCUGAACUCACUCUAAAAACCAUACAGCAUGAAUCUGCUCCCUGUGAUCAUAUAACAUUGCCACACUGUUUCACAGAAAGGUUAGCAACUUAGAGGAACAAGAGAUUGCAUUCAUUAUUUCCAAUAAAAAUAUAGUUACCUGCAACUGCUGCUUGCUUUUGAUUCCAGUUGUUCAAAACCACGAGCUAUCAGGUAAAAUGGAUUUGUGAUAGACCCGGUAAAAUUCAUUCUGCUGGUUUGAGAAUUAUAUCAACUAUUGGAGACCAGCAUCACUGUGAUUGUUGUGAUAAUGAUACUCUGGCAACUUGAGAUGUUUUACAAGGAUCUAGGUUGGCAUGGCUUACUUUAGGUUGUCAUUUGCACUCACUUAGCGGUCUGGCUUCUUGGUCAGGUAGAAUCUGCUUGUAAUUAGCAGAGGUUACCCUCUCAAAUUAUGUCAAGAUUCACUAGGAUUCAGCGAAUAAAGAAUUAAUUUGCAACAGGAAGAGCUACUCCUGUUUGGUUUGUGGGAAAGGUAAGAAACAUAGGGCUUUUUAUAUUCUCUCUCAUGUUGGUGAGCUAUUAGGUACAGGAGGGGGGUCAGAUCUUCAGUGGAUAAAGAUGUAGGGAUAUUCACAUUCAUUAAAUUCUAGGUGUUCAGCUUAAAGCAAGCUAUCAACUUGAUGCUAGGAUACCAGGGUAGGUGUAAACUUCUGGAUACCCCAUGAACACCUCACGGAUGUAUCAUGUUUAAAUGUAAUUGUUUGUGAUUAGGUAGGUCAGAUUUGAAAUCGAUAGGUCAACACCAUUGUCAUCAUCAGGAUCCAGGUUAAAUAUUUCCCUGCCUUGUGGUGGUGGUCAACAACUUCACCGGAGAACUUGUAAUUCAGAUUUUUGAAACAGAUGAUGCUUCAGCAUGUCCAAUUGUUGCAAUUAUUGCAACUGGGUAUGUCGAAGUUGAUUCUGCUCUUGUUCAAGACAGUUCCCCUCCCUCUCUCUCUCUCUCUCUGAGUCUCAUGAUCAGCUUAAAAUUUUCUCCAUGACUUUUCCUUCAAUGAUUUACAUAUUGGCACCCCAGUUUUGGAAGAGAGAUUUCAUCAUUUUAACUGCCUCUUAAUGUGUGUGUUUUCUUUGAGGCUGCAUGUAUCUUUGCAAACAAGUUGCAUGCUCAACAUUUCGUCUUUAGCCCUGUUGACUUUGUGAACUGGAGGAAACCCAAGCAGGAAGUUGCCAAUUUUUCAGUUUGACUUGUAUCAGAAAAAGAAAGAACAGGGUUUAAGACAUGCAUCCAAGCGCAAUAUUGUUUGGCUAAGUUCUGUGCAGGAGCGGCCCAAUGUAUUUGGGGGCCUAAGGCCGUUUUGUGUUUUAGGCCUUUCCUACAGUGGGCCGGCUUAAGGCGAAUUCACAGGGGGCCUUUUUUUUCCAUUUUAUCUUUGAGGCAUUUCCUGCGGUGGGCCUUCUUUGGGCCGGGGCCUUAGGCGACCGCCUCAGUUGCCUAAGGGUUGGGCCGGCCCUGGUUCUGUGAGGAUGUCGAGGCUGAUGGCUAGGAUGGUUGAUUUGGGGUUUUAUUGCUCGAGUCAUUUCAGAAUACAAUGGGACUACGUUCUAUUCGUCAGCAAUGGCGGCAUUAUUCUGGUGGGGUGUCUUGAUUUUGGGUGCCCGCAGCAAACUAGUCUGUAUAUGUUGAAAGCAAGGACUGAAAGUUUUUGAAUUGAUUAUUAUAUUUCUGUGAUUCCUUAAGGUUGAAUUCUUAUACAAGAGUAGGGUUGGCAAUCGGGUCGGACAUAAACGGGUCGGAUCAGAUGCAAUCAGGUCAGAAAAUCAUAAACCUGAAUCUGAUCUGUUUAUUAAACAGGUUCGAAAAUCAUAAAUCUGAAUCCGAUUAAACAGGUAAUCCGAUCCAAUCUGUUUAACAUGUUUAAUAAAGAGGUAAUCUAUUUGGCCAACCCGACCCGACCAGUUCGAAAAGGCUGAAGAAAAUUUCGAAGUGGGAACCAUUCCAAGUGGUGCAUCCAAUGGAUCAAAAGCAUCAUCCAGUUGGUGCUCGGCUUAGAAUGAGAAGGAUAUUUUUGAAAGUAUAUUAUUUCUUUUAAGUUGGUCCGGGGAUAGUAGGCGUGGCGAGUCAGGCGUGGCUCCCUGGCUUUCCUCAGGAAA